This 130-nucleotide non-coding RNA is filed under the name Clostridium sp. RNAcentral's name for it is "FMN sequence". It matches the Rfam family "FMN riboswitch aptamer (RFN element)". From Rfam's summary of the family: The RFN element is a highly conserved domain that is found frequently in the 5'-untranslated regions of prokaryotic mRNAs that encode for flavin mononucleotide (FMN) biosynthesis and transport proteins. This element is a metabolite-dependent riboswitch that directly binds FMN in the absence of proteins. Lineage: Bacteria; Bacillati; Bacillota; Clostridia; Eubacteriales; Clostridiaceae. The record is from RNAcentral.
AGGUUGUUUCAGGGCGGGGUGUGAGUCCCCACCGGCGGUAAUGAGGCGCAUGCCUUUAGUCCGCGAGCGGUAACGCAGAUCGGGUGCGAUCCCCGAACCGACGGUAUAGUCCGGAUGAAAGAAGCAGUGC